Medicago truncatula (barrel medic) is the source of this 1885-nucleotide long non-coding RNA. RefSeq lists it as uncharacterized. The transcript has 2 exons. The record is from RefSeq and is a predicted model, not a curated record. Lineage: Eukaryota; Viridiplantae; Streptophyta; Magnoliopsida; Fabales; Fabaceae.
GUGUAGCCUAUUUUUUUUCCAAUUACACCCUCCCUUUUUAAUGAGAAUUUCACAUUUUACCCUUGAAAACUAAACAACAGUUUAGUAAAUUUGAGAUUUCCCUUUCUUAAUUUUAGUAACCGACUACAUCUCCUUCUCUCCUUUCACGUUUAAUGUCAAAGACUCAAAGUCUCAAUCUUUUCCCUAGAAAUUUCUGAGGAGGAUUCAGGAUAUGGUGAUGCUAAGUCAACAUUUACACCACUCAACAACCAUAAAUGUCUUGCACUUUGUAAUGUUAAAGAGAUAAACGAGGGUGCAAGAGAAGAAGAUAUUAUAGAGAAGACAAAAGCAGAAGGAUGACUGCGGAACCAGCGAACGCGCAUUGGAAAUCUGUAGCAGUGAAGGUACAUUAGGAACCGCGAAAACAAUAAGGGUUACACAAGGAAAAACGUAUGUUCCCUCUGUUCAAUUUUUUCAGUUGCUUUUUCUAUAUCCCUCCCUUUUCAUUUUUUUUCUCUCUAGACAAAUACUCAAAUUGCUGUUACAAUAUACUAAUUAUACCAAAUACGCCAUUGAAAUUACUUUGUUUUUUCUGUUCUAAUAUUUACUUUUAUAUUUGUAGGGAUAACUGAUAUGAGGCCCUUAAUCAAACAAAAUUAAAUUGUCUCACAUACAGAAUAGAAUGUGAAGUUGAAACAUAGAGUUUAAUCAUAAAAUUGAUUUUCUCAUCAUGUAGAGGUAGCAAUUAUUCAAAACAUUAAUAAUCAUAUGCAACUGGAUAUGAUUUCCUGUAUAUUUCUCUCCCCAACAAUCUCUCUCACUUCUUUCAUGUGUUGCAAUUGAAGUUUGAAUGAUAAAGAAAUUAGUUCUACACUUAAUGCCCUCAGAGACAAUCUGCAUUCUCAAUUUUUCUUAAAUAUUUGAAUCUGAACCAUAGUUAAAUCAAGUUUGGUGUUAAAUUGCAUUUCUAUUUGCCAUUUCGUUGGUUUAUUAUUCCAUUAUUCUCAAUUUUCCGAGAGCUAUACGGGAACCAGUGUGUUUAUUUAUUUUAAUCUCUUGAAGUCAUUUACAUGAUUUCGUUUUCUCGGUAAACAUUAUCAAGAUUUAGUAGUUUGAUUGCCACAAUCCUUAGAGUAAUUUUUUAAGUAAUAAAUUGCUCACAAAUAUAGCAGGCGUGGGCGUAAUUUUAUCACAGGUAAAUUAACGACUUCAACAAAAAAAAAAACAAUCACAUUUUAUUUAUACUAAUUCAUCUACCAUUAUUUGCUACCAUGUGUUUUAUUUUGUUUAUUGUUUACAAAUAUGACAUGCUUCAUGAGUGUUAUCUUUUAGAAAUUAUUUGUUUCUAUAUCAGGUAAAUGUCCAGUAACAAACAUGUUAAGGCAAAGUAUUCAUGGACCAUUGGAGCUCAAUGCAACACGUGUCUGUUUUGAUUCAUUGUCGUUGAUCAAAUUCAUCUCUAUCAUUGGAUCAUUAUUGUUUUUUCUUUUCUAUUUUUUUCUAUAGGUUGUUUCUAUGAGAAAAUUAAGGUUUGGAAAUUAUGUAGAUUAUUUAUAUGGGACUGCACAAUCUCAUGGCCUAGGAUCCAUGGAAUAAAAUGCGCAAGCAGCAGUCAACAAUCAAGAUAAUAGCAAAAGGAAUAAGACGAACACAAAAUGCAAGAGAUAGAAUACAAAUAAAGCAUUUCGAGUAUUUAAAAGAACAGUUAUGUGUACAUUUGUGUUAGAAUCAAAAUUGUAUAAAGAAGAUUGGUAAAAUAUAUACACUUAAGUGCAAUAAGGAGAUGACAAAGACCCAAAUGAAUCUUAGCCAAGUGGGGGAUGGAUAGCUCACUUAGUUGAGUUAAGGGAUUAAAUGAAUUAAAGAUAUAUCAUGAUCUUCAAUAUUACUCUAUGUUUCUUUCUAA